ACUCAAAGGAAUAGACGGGGGCCCGCACAAGCGGUGGAGCAUGUGGUUUAAUUCGACGCAACGCGAAGAACCUUACCUGGGCUCGAAAUGUACAGGACAGCGGUAGAAAUAUCGUCUCCCAGCAAUGGGUCUGUAUAUAGGUGCUGCAUGGCUGUCGUCAGCUCGUGUCGUGAGAUGUUGGGUUAAGUCCCGCAACGAGCGCAACCCUUACCUCUAGUUGCCACCACGCAAGUGGGGAACUCUAGCGGAACCGCCUCGGAUAACGGGGAGGAAGGUGGGGAUGACGUCAAGUCCUCAUGGCCUUUAUGUCCAGGGCUACACACGUGCUACAAUGGCCGGUACAAACCGCUGCAACCCCGCGAGGGUGAGCUAAUCGGAAAAAGCCGGCCUCAGUUCGGAUUGGAGUCUGCAACUCGACUCCAUGAAGCUGGAAUCGCUAGUAAUCGUGGAUCAGCAUGCCACGGUGAAUACGUUCCCGGGCCUUGUACACACCGCCCGU
This 499-nucleotide ribosomal RNA is filed under the name uncultured bacterium. Its description in RNAcentral is "partial 16S ribosomal RNA". It matches the Rfam family "Bacterial small subunit ribosomal RNA", at positions 899 to 1397 of the family's 1533-position model. The record is from RNAcentral.